UAGGGAAUUUUCCGCAAUGGGCGCAAGCCUGACGGAGCAACGCCGCGUGAGUGAGGACGGCCUUCGGGUUGUAAAACUCUGUUCUUGAGGAAGAACCCUUCCGAGGCGAACAGCCUCGGAAGUUGACGGUACUCAAGGAGAAAGCCCCGGCUAACUACGUGCCAGCAGCCGCGGUAAUACGUAGGGGGCGAGCGUUAUCCGGAAUUAUUGGGCGUAAAGCGCGCGCAGGCGGCCGAUUAAGUCAGGUGUGAAAGGCUGCGGCUCAACCGCAGAGCGGCACCUGAAACUGGUCGGCUUGAGUGCAGGAGAGGGGAGCGGAAUUCCCGGUGUAGCGGUGGAAUGCGUAGAGAUCGGGAGGAACACCAGUGGCGAAGGCGGCUCUCUGGCCUGUAACUGACGCUGAGGCGCGAAAGCGUGGGGAGCAAACA
This 428-nucleotide ribosomal RNA is filed under the name uncultured Thermoactinomyces sp. RNAcentral's name for it is "bacterial SSU rRNA". It matches the Rfam family "Bacterial small subunit ribosomal RNA", at positions 355 to 774 of the family's 1533-position model. Lineage: Bacteria; Bacillati; Bacillota; Bacilli; Caryophanales; Thermoactinomycetaceae. The record is from RNAcentral.